GGACAGCCAAGGAGAUGGAAAGAUCAGAUGACACUGAAAAUAUUCACGGCCAGCCUGGCUGGGGCCUGGGCAGUCAGAACAAACACCCCUGGAGGCAUUGGGCCCCAGCAGGUACCCUCGGCCCCCUAGGACUGACCAUUCAGUGCUAUCACCUGGAGGAAGAGGUGUGGAGGGAAGACGCCACCUUCUCCAGAAACACAUGAGAUGGACAAGCUCUCUCAGUGCUGGGUAGUUUCACGCACAUUGCGUGUGUGCUGACUCAAUCUCCCAAAAGGUUUACCUCAAAGGAUGGAACCCAAAGACAGUUAUUUCCAUUUUCAUCUCCAUUUUACAGAUGGGGAAACUGACAGCCAUGGGGGAGACACUUUCCAAAGGUCAGGACAGUGCAGAGGGAGCAAAGCUGGCAUGGAGAGCCCUCAGGCUGCUGCGGAGGCCCCGCGUUCAGCAGUGACAUCACACUGCCUCUCUGACUUUUCUUUGCCAAAAGAAAGAAUCCCAGGACCCAGAGAGGACCUUGGAGGUCCUCUAAGCAAUUCCCUCCUCUCUGUUCUCAAACCACUUGGAGAUGGGGAAACUGAGGCAUGAGGGGCUAAGGGAAGUUUCUGAAUCUACAAGGCAAUCAGAGACCUUCUUUAACCAGGUACGCCUAGCUCCUGCCCUUUGAGUCAACAGCCUCUCUGAUACUCUUAGAAACACAGCAGGAAGAAAAGUUCACGCAAGAAAGCAAGCCCAUUUUUUCACUUUUUUGUGAGGAGAAGGAUUUCAUAUAGGACGUCGCACAGUGAGUGCAUCCACCAUAGACGCACAUGCAUGCCCUCUCCCCGUCCAGGGAAGCAAGCAGCCAGCUCUAAUGAUAAUACGUUUCCUGAGAACUUUCCACUCGCUCUGAAGCACUUCUAAUUGUGUCUGGAGCCUUUCCUUCCUACCCCACAGGAUGAGCCGGGACAUGCCGCUCGCGAGUUUUCUCUCUUACACUGGCCUGGAGCUGUGCCAGGAGCCUUGGAGCCGAGUUGAAGGGGAUUCCCAGCUCCCCACAUCCCACCAUCUCUCUGGGCUGCAUUUUAUCACCUGCAAAGUGGUGAGAGAGCAAUACCUGCUUCCACGUGCAGGUGUUCCUGGAAGGAUUCAGUGGAUGGCGACUGCGGGUCAUCCAGCUGCCACUGGUCCAUGAGUACCAGCUGUUCUCACGGUGGUUCUGAAAGGGGUAGACAGAGGCAAAUUGGUUCGUUUCUUCUUUGUUGUGAAGCCACGAUUAUCUUUUAAGGCACUCUGAGGAUUAACAGCAACUACCUUCUCUUUCCUGAAGCCAAAUACUUCUUCAAGAACACCUGGGGGUCUGGGCCAGCCUGUCCCCAGCUGGUUUCACAAGUCAGCAGGUGUCCCCAACCACCUCCUGGGGUUUCAUGAACUAAGCCCACUUUAACCUACAUACAUUGUGAUAUCCUAUUAUAUUACAUAAAAUGCUUGCAUUGCAUAAUAUUUCUAUGUUAUAAAAUAUACAUACCUAAUAUAGAAUAUGCUAGAUAUUAUAUAAUGUUUAUAAUAUAUGAUAUAACAUAAGGAGGUGAUGCCGUGAUCAGGUACAAC
RNAcentral lists this long non-coding RNA (1587 nucleotides) under Homo sapiens (human). Its description in RNAcentral is "HSALNT0235032". Lineage: Eukaryota; Metazoa; Chordata; Mammalia; Primates; Hominidae. The record is from RNAcentral.